This 505-nucleotide ribosomal RNA is filed under the name uncultured bacterium. RNAcentral's name for it is "partial 16S ribosomal RNA". It matches the Rfam family "Bacterial small subunit ribosomal RNA", at positions 28 to 507 of the family's 1533-position model. The record is from RNAcentral.
GACGAACGCUGGCGGCGUGCCUAAUACAUGCAAGUAGAACGCACAGUUUAUACCGUAGCUUGCUACACCAUAAACUGUGAGUUGCGAACGGGUGAGUAACGCGUAGGUAACCUGCCUAGUAGCGGGGGAUAACUAUUGGAAACGAUAGCUAAUACCGCAUAAUAUUGAUUAUUGCAUGAUAAUUGAUUGAAAGAUGCUAUUGCAUCACUACCAGAUGGACCUGCGUUGUAUUAGCUAGUAGGUGAGGUAACGGCUCACCUAGGCGACGAUACAUAGCCGACCUGAGAGGGUGAUCGGCCACACUGGGACUGAGACACGGCCCAGACUCCUACGGGAGGCAGCAGUAGGGAAUCUUCGGCAAUGGACGAAAGUCUGACCGAGCAACGCCGCGUGAGUGAAGAAGGUUUUCGGAUCGUAAAGCUCUGUUGUAAGAGAAGAACGGGUGUGAGAGUGGAAAGUUCACACUGUGACGGUAGCUUACCAGAAAGAGACGGCUAACUACGUG